ACAUCCAGCGAACUUGGCAGAGAUGCCUUGGUGCCUUCGGGAACGCUGAGACAGGUGCUGCAUGGCUGUCGUCAGCUCGUGUUGUGAAAUGUUGGGUUAAGUCCCGCAACGAGCGCAACCCUUAUCCUUGUUGCCAGCGAUUCGGUCGGGAACUCAAAGGAGACUGCCGGUGAUAAACCGGAGGAAGGUGGGGAUGACGUCAAGUCAUCAUGGCCCUUACGAGUAGGGCUACACACGUGCUACAAUGGCGCAUACAAAGAGAAGCGACCUCGCGAGAGCAAGCGGACCUCAUAAAGUGCGUCGUAGUCCGGAUCGGAGUCUGCAACUCGACUCCGUGAAGUCGGAAUCGCUAGUAAUCGUGGAUCAGAAUGCCACGGUGAAUACGUUCCCGGGCCUUGUACACACCGCCCGUCACACCAUGGGAGUGGGUUGCAAAAGAAGUAGGUAGCUUAACCUUCGGGAGGGCGCUUACCACUUUGUGAUUCAUGACUGGGGUGAAGUCGUAACAAGGUAGGCGUAGCGAG
This 524-nucleotide ribosomal RNA is filed under the name uncultured bacterium. Its description in RNAcentral is "bacterial SSU rRNA". It matches the Rfam family "Bacterial small subunit ribosomal RNA", at positions 984 to 1509 of the family's 1533-position model. The record is from RNAcentral.